CGAGCCAAGGAUGUCGCUGCCGAGAAGGCUGGCCAGGCGAAGGAUUCCACCUAUGAUACGGCUGCUCGAGCCAAGGAUGUUACUGCCGAGAAGGCUGGCCAGGCGAAAGAUACCACAUAUGAUUCGGCUGCUCGAGCAAAGGAUGUUACUGCCGAGAAGGCUGGCCAGGCGAAAGAUGCCACCUAUGAUUCGGCUACUCGAGCAAAGGAUGUCACUGCCGAGAAGGCUGGCCAGGCGAAAGAUUCCACCUAUGAUUCGGCUGCUCGAGCAAAGGAUGUCACUGCCGAGAAGGCUGCCCGUGCUCAAGACACGACGAAGGUAUGGUGUUUUGUACUCCUGUUGUUUUGUAUUGAGCGAUUCUUUUGUAUUUCUCAG
This 375-nucleotide long non-coding RNA is filed under the name Selaginella moellendorffii. RNAcentral's name for it is "long non-coding RNA (SMOE_LNC000138)". The record is from RNAcentral. Lineage: Eukaryota; Viridiplantae; Streptophyta; Lycopodiopsida; Selaginellales; Selaginellaceae.